GAUGAUCACCUUUUGACCUGGAAGUAAGAUCAAAAUCAAAACUAUUCAGCUGUUGUUGCUGACACUUUUCCGUGCUGACACCACGCUGACACCGCUUGCAGACGACAUAUCGAGAUAUUCGAGAUACAGAAUUUGAUCUUCCCCAACAGGAAUCACUCUUUUCCGCGGGUGCGGAUGCAGACCGGAUGUCUAUGCGUUAUUUGCACGCAAGAAGACAUUUUCAUCAAUUAUCAAUUAAUAUCACAUGCAGGAAGCAAGAAGAUCAAAUGCAAUCAAAAUCAACAAUAAUUGUUCGACAAGCCCCGACCUAGCCGUCAGAGAUUC
This 324-nucleotide unclassified non-coding RNA is filed under the name Athalia rosae (coleseed sawfly). RNAcentral's name for it is "misc RNA ENSAEAG00005004041.1". Lineage: Eukaryota; Metazoa; Arthropoda; Insecta; Hymenoptera; Athaliidae. The record is from RNAcentral.